This is a small nucleolar RNA of Xyrauchen texanus (razorback sucker), 136 nucleotides long. RefSeq annotates it as small nucleolar RNA SNORA14. Lineage: Eukaryota; Metazoa; Chordata; Actinopteri; Cypriniformes; Catostomidae. The record is from RefSeq and is a predicted model, not a curated record. The transcript has a single exon.
AUGCAUUCUUUUAAACCCCCCGGGUAGCUGCUCAUAGCUAUUUCGGGAUAAGAAAGAAUGCGAGAGAAACCAAGAACUAACCAAAGUUAAGGGUCUUCCUGCAGUGACCUUUGGCUAUUUCACCUCUUGAACAUUA